CAGCCGCCGCGGUAAUACGUAGGUGGCAAGCGUUGUCCGGAAUUAUUGGGCGUAAAGGGCUCGCAGGCGGUUUCUUAAGUCUGAUGUGAAAGCCCCCGGCUCAACCGGGGAGGGUUAUUGGAAACUGGGAAACUUGAGUGCAGAAGAGGAGAGUGGAAUUCCACGUGUAGCGGUGAAAUGCGUAGAGAUGUGGAGGAACACCAGUGGCGAAGGCGACUCUCUGGUCUGUAACUGACGCUGAGGAGCGAAAGCGUGGGGAGCGAACAGGAUUAGAUACCCGUGUAGUCCCUGUCUCUUAUAC
RNAcentral lists this ribosomal RNA (301 nucleotides) under uncultured bacterium. Its description in RNAcentral is "partial 16S ribosomal RNA". It matches the Rfam family "Bacterial small subunit ribosomal RNA", at positions 509 to 807 of the family's 1533-position model. The record is from RNAcentral.